ACAUAUCUUUCGUCUAUGCUAGUGAGCUUAGAGAAUUGAGAUAGAUCUAUGGUCAUAUACCUUGAGCAUCCAUUAUCAAGGUAUCAUCUCUUGUUCCUAGCUUGUGAUGGUAUAUUUUUUUAUAAAAAAUGAUGAUUUUUAGGUAUCCAUUUGACCUUGGGUGUCUUAAAAAUCGAUCUACAUAGUUUAUCAUGUUGCAUUGAGUCAUUUGAAGUUCGUUU
RNAcentral lists this long non-coding RNA (221 nucleotides) under Musa acuminata (dwarf banana). Its description in RNAcentral is "long non-coding RNA (MACU_LNC004082)". Lineage: Eukaryota; Viridiplantae; Streptophyta; Magnoliopsida; Zingiberales; Musaceae. The record is from RNAcentral.